GAUGAACGUUGGCGGCGUGCCUAACACAUGCAAGUCGAACGGUAGUCGCAAGACUACAGUGGCGCACGGGUGAGUAACACGUAGCUUACCUCCCUCUCAGCGCGGGAUAACGGCUCGAAAGAGCUGCUAAUACCGCAUAAGCUCACGGAUUAUAGAGAUUUGCGAGAAAAGGCUUCGGUCACUGAGAGACGGGGCUGCGG
Molecule: ribosomal RNA, 200 nt
Filed under: uncultured bacterium
Lineage: Bacteria
Description: partial 16S ribosomal RNA
Rfam family: Bacterial small subunit ribosomal RNA
Source: RNAcentral